This 468-nucleotide ribosomal RNA is filed under the name uncultured bacterium. RNAcentral's name for it is "partial 16S ribosomal RNA". It matches the Rfam family "Bacterial small subunit ribosomal RNA", at positions 28 to 507 of the family's 1533-position model. The record is from RNAcentral.
GACGAACGCUGGCGGCGUGCUUAACACAUGCAAGUCGAACGGAAAGGCCCUGCUUUUGUGGGGUGCUCGAGUGGCGAACGGGUGAGUAACACGUGAGUAACCUGCCCUUGACUUUGGGAUAACGUCAGGAAACUGGGGCUAAUACCGGAUAGGAGCUCCUGCUGCAUGGGGGGGGUUGGAAAGUUUCGGCGGUUGGGGAUGGACUCGCGGCUUAUCAGCUUGUUGGUGGGGUAGUGGCUUACCAAGGCUUUGACGGGUAGCCGGCCUGAGAGGGUGACCGGCCACAUUGGGACUGAGAUACGGCCCAGCCUACUACGGGAGGCAGAAGUGGGGAAUAUUGCACAAUGGGCGGAAGCCUGAUGCAGCAACGCCGCGUGCGGGAUGACGGCCUUCGUGUUGUAAACCGCUUUCGCCUGUGACGAAGCGUGAGUGACGGUAAUGGGUAAAGAAGCACCGGCUAACUACGUG